GCCGAUUGGUCCAGGAAUGGUGCCGGUCAAGCGAGCAAUAUUCUCGGACUUAAGGGUGACUUUGAUGCCAGACUCUUCUAUGUCUCUACUGCAUUCUUGAAGUUCUUUUUGUACGCGAGCAAAAUCGAUCAUCCUGAAUUGAGUGAUGAGAAAUAUAAAAGUCCAAAUAUAGAGAAAGUAAAAGGAAAAUAAAGGGAGCUAAAUUGCAGUGUCAAGGGAAGGAUAAGAAGAAGCGAAGAGAAGAGAAUAAAGGCUCUUCCUUUCUCUCUCUCUCUCUCAUAGUUGCUUCGCCCACCCCGCUUUAGAGAGAGAAGAUUUCCUU
This 322-nucleotide unclassified non-coding RNA is filed under the name Hevea brasiliensis (rubber tree). Lineage: Eukaryota; Viridiplantae; Streptophyta; Magnoliopsida; Malpighiales; Euphorbiaceae. The record is from RNAcentral.